GCUUGCUUUCUUUGCUGGCGACCGGCGCACGGGUGAGUAACACGUAUCCAACCUGCCCUUUACUCGGGGAUAGCCUUUCGAAAGAAAGAUUAAUACCCGAUGGCAUAAUGAUUCCGCAUGGUUUCAUUAUUAAAGGAUUCCGGUAAAGGAUGGGGAUGCGUUCCAUUAGGCUGUUGGUGAGGUAACGGCUCACCAAGCCUUCGAUGGAUAGGGGUUCUGAGAGGAAGGUCCCCCACAUUGGAACUGAGACACGGUCCAAACUCCUACGGGAGGCAGCAGUGAGGAAUAUUGGUCAAUGGGCGCUAGCCUGAACCAGCCAAGUAGCGUGAAGGAUGAAGGCUCUAUGGGUCGUAAACUUC
RNAcentral lists this ribosomal RNA (359 nucleotides) under uncultured bacterium. RNAcentral's name for it is "bacterial SSU rRNA". It matches the Rfam family "Bacterial small subunit ribosomal RNA", at positions 78 to 433 of the family's 1533-position model. The record is from RNAcentral.